AACGAACGCUGGCGGCAUGCCUAACACAUGCAAGUCGAACGAGACCUUCGGGUCUAGUGGCGCACGGGUGCGUAACGCGUGGGAACCUGCCCUUAGGUUCGGAAUAACUCCCCGAAGGGGGUGCUAAUACCGGAUAAUGUCUUCGGACCAAAGAUUUAUCGCCUUUGGAUGGGCCCGCGUUGGAUUAGCUAGUUGGUAGGGUAAAAGCUUACCAAGGCGACGAUCCAUAGCUGGUCUGAGAGGAUGAUCAGCCACACUGGGACUGAGACACGGCCCAGACUCCUACGGGAGGCAGCAGUGGGGAAUAUUGGACAAUGGGCGAAAGCCUGAUCCAGCAAUGCCGCGUGAGUGAUGAAGGCCUUAGGGUUGUAAAGCUCUUUUACCCGGGAUGAUAAUGACAGUACCGGGAGAAUAAGCUCCGGCUAACUCCGUG
Molecule: ribosomal RNA, 433 nt
Filed under: uncultured bacterium
Lineage: Bacteria
Description: partial 16S ribosomal RNA
Rfam family: Bacterial small subunit ribosomal RNA
Source: RNAcentral